UUUCGCAAUGCCCGAAAGGGUGACGAAGCGACGCCGCGUGCGGGAAGAAGGCCUUCGGGUUGUAAACCGCUGUCGGGAGUUAAGAAAUGCAAGGGUGUUAACAGCAUCCUUGCUUGACUAAGGCUCCGGAGGAAGCCACGGCUAACUCUGUGCCAGCAGCCGCGGUAAUACAGAGGCGGCAAGCGUUGUUCGGAAUUAUUGGGCGUAAAGAGCACGUAGGCGGCUGUGUAAGUCGGUUGUGAAAGCCUUCCGCUCAACGGGAGAACAGCAUCCGAUACUGCAUGGCUUGAGUGCGGGAGGGGAGAGUGGAACUUCUGGUGGAGCGGUGAAAUGCGUAGAUAUCAGAAGGAACGCCGGCGGCGAAAGCGGCUCUCUGGCCCAUAACUGACGCUGAGUGUGCGAAAGCUAGGGGAGCAAACGGGAUUAGAUACCCCGGUAGUCCUAGCCCUAAACGAUGGGCACUAAGUAGAGGGGUUUUA
This 479-nucleotide ribosomal RNA is filed under the name uncultured anaerobic ammonium-oxidizing bacterium. Its description in RNAcentral is "bacterial SSU rRNA". It matches the Rfam family "Bacterial small subunit ribosomal RNA", at positions 364 to 833 of the family's 1533-position model. The record is from RNAcentral.